GGUCAUUGACCUCACCGGAGUUUUACCGUGGUUCAGGCUCCUAACGACACAAGACUUUGCUGCAAUAUGUCAUCUGACGAUGAUGAAAGGAAUAUGAUGAUAAUAACAUUGUUCAACAAAGGCUUAAAACAAAAGGAAAUCAGCUGUGCACUGAAUUCAUAUGGGCAUAAAAUAAGUGAGAGGCAUCUGAG
Maylandia zebra (zebra mbuna) is the source of this 191-nucleotide long non-coding RNA. RefSeq lists it as uncharacterized. NCBI's taxonomy places the organism in Eukaryota, Metazoa, Chordata, Actinopteri, Cichliformes, Cichlidae. The record is from RefSeq and is a predicted model, not a curated record.